RNAcentral lists this ribosomal RNA (531 nucleotides) under uncultured bacterium. RNAcentral describes it as "partial 16S ribosomal RNA". It matches the Rfam family "Bacterial small subunit ribosomal RNA", at positions 28 to 523 of the family's 1533-position model. The record is from RNAcentral.
GACGAACGCUGGCGGCGUGCCUAAUACAUGCAAGUCGAACGCACUGACGUCGACAGAAGGUGCUUGCACUGGAAGUUGAUUGACGUGAGUGGCGGACGGGUGAGUAACACGUGAGUAACCUGCCCUUAAGCGGGGGAUAACAUUUGGAAACAGAUGCUAAUACCGCAUAAAAGUUGAGAUCACAUGGUCUUAAUUUGAAAGACGGCCUUUGGCUGUCACUUAAGGAUGGACCCGCGGCGUAUUAGCUAGUUGGUGAGAUAAUAGCCCACCAAGGCGAUGAUACGUAGCCGACCUGAGAGGGUAAUCGGCCACAUUGGGACUGAGACACGGCCCAAACUCCUACGGGAGGCAGCAGUAGGGAGUCUUCCGCAAUGGACGAAAGUCUGAUGGAGCAACGCCGCGUGAGUGAAGAAGGUUUUCGGAUCGUAAAACUCUGUUGUUGGAGAAGAACAGGGACUAGAGUAACUGUUAGUCCUUUGACGGUAUCCAACCAGAAAGCCACGGCUAACUACGUGCCAGCCGCCGCAGUAA